AAUUAUCACAGAAGAAAAAACAAAAUUAUUGUAUAUUGCAGUAAAUGUAUAUCAUGGUCUCGGAUAUAAUAUAAAAUACUUAAUUCCAGAGCACCUGUCUUCAAAUAUCACAGCGAUUGAUUACCCUGAUAUUCUAAGAGUAGAUAUUUUUAUAAAACUUAAAAUAAAUCAUUCAUAAAAUAUAAAAAUGUGUUCAUACUUAAGCUCAAAAUGUAACAAUAGUCAUGGAAAGGCAGUUAUAUCAAGUCUUAUAGAAAAUCACAUAAGUAAUUUACAUUAGUGUUAACGCGAGUAUUAUAUAUAAGUAAAUUUAUACAAUAAAGGAUACCAUUAAUGCAGUCAUUCAUUAAAUGUAAAUAAAACUUAUAUAUACUUAUAUAUACAUAUAUAUGUAUAUAUAUAUAUAUAUAAAAUAGAAACUUAUUUCGAGUAAGUAGCAUUCAGUUCUUUAUAAUUUUAUAUAAAAUUCUGGUUUUUCGUAUCACUAAUAAAUAAACUUUGGUGAAUUAUAAUAACUGUAGAAUCAUGAAUAUCACUUGGUUGGAUAUGAAUGUUUAAUCUUGAAUUU
This is a non-coding RNA of Cinara cedri, 568 nucleotides long. The record is from the annotation of a GenBank genome assembly. NCBI's taxonomy places the organism in Eukaryota, Metazoa, Arthropoda, Insecta, Hemiptera, Aphididae.